CACUGGUUGUCACUGAAGAUGGAAAAAUUCAACAGCAAGUUGACUCUCCUUUAAAUCUUAAACAUCCACAUGACCUUGUCAUCUUCAUGCGACAGGAGACCCGUGUCAACUACCUGAAGAAGUUAGAGAAGCAGCUUGUCGCUCAGAAGAUUCACAUUGAGGAGAAUGAGGACAGGGACACGGGCUUGGAGCAGAGGCACUAUAAAGAGGAUACCGACUGUGUCAUGGCUAAAGUACCCCUGGGAGACUUGGAUCUCUACGAUGGUACCUACAUCUCCCUGGAGAGUAAAGACAUCAGGUAAGCCCAGGCUGUGCACUCUUGACCAAUCAUUUGGUUGUUACUAAUGUGCCCUCACAUAACUUAUUAUCAUGGGGAAGCACUGAUAAGGGAUGUUGACAU
Long non-coding RNA from Oncorhynchus kisutch (coho salmon), 400 nucleotides. RefSeq lists it as uncharacterized. NCBI's taxonomy places the organism in Eukaryota, Metazoa, Chordata, Actinopteri, Salmoniformes, Salmonidae. The transcript is spliced from 3 exons. The record is from RefSeq and is a predicted model, not a curated record.